Molecule: ribosomal RNA, 253 nt
Filed under: uncultured bacterium
Lineage: Bacteria
Description: partial 16S ribosomal RNA
Rfam family: Bacterial small subunit ribosomal RNA
Source: RNAcentral
UACGAAGGGGGCUAGCGUUGCUCGGAAUGACUGGGCGUAAAGGGCGCGUAGGCGGUGGACACAGUCAGGCGUGAAAUUCCUGGGCUCAACCUGGGGGCUGCGUUUGAUACGUGUUUGCUAGAGUGGGGAAGAGGGUCGUGGAAUUCCCAGUGUAGAGGUGAAAUUCGUAGAUAUUGGGAAGAACACCGGUGGCGAAGGCGGCGACUUGGUCCUUGACUGACGCUGAGGCGCGAAAGCGUGGGGAGCAAACAGG